RNAcentral lists this small nucleolar RNA (120 nucleotides) under Mus spretus (western wild mouse). RNAcentral's name for it is "predicted gene, 24376 (ENSMSPG00010009722.1)". It matches the Rfam family "Small nucleolar RNA SNORA17". From Rfam's summary of the family: snoRNA ACA 17 belongs to the H/ACA family of snoRNAs and is predicted to guide pseudouridylation of the 28S rRNA at positions U4659 and U4598. Lineage: Eukaryota; Metazoa; Chordata; Mammalia; Rodentia; Muridae. The record is from RNAcentral.
CCUGCACCUAGAGACUGCAAAUGUGGCUGCUGUGUCACAUGUGUCAGUAGGUAGGAGAGAAGCCACGUCUACACUCAGUGUUCUGACCUGUGAACAUCUGAGUGUUAGUAGCCCAACAUA